GCAUGUAGUUCAUAUACAUCAUCUUCUUUAGUAUAACUUGUGCACACUGUGUCCUUUUGCUUCCUCUAUUAAUCCACAUGUUUACUUGCUAAAUUCAUCAUAAUAGGUAUACAGUUGUCGGUCGAUCAUUUUUCUCAACUGAUUUAGGGUUUAAAGGUGCACUUGGUGACGGUUUAGAAUACUGGAGAGGAUAUUACCAGUCUCUAAGACCUACACAAUUUGGGCUCUCACUCAAUAUAGACGUGUCGGCUAGAGCUUUCUAUGAGCCAAUUCUUGUUACUGAGUUUGUUGAGAAACACUUCCACCGAGAUAUGUGGAGCCCGUUGUCUCAGCAGGACUAGAUAGCUUUCUUUGUCAUUGCCAUUGAGGUUUGGUUCUCAAUGUAGGGAUGGGGUUAGUGAAGGUCAAUUCUCUCGAGUUCUUCUCUAUGAAAUGGAUGCGAUUCGCCAGGCUUGUGCCUCACUUGAAGAGGGUUAUUUGCCACCGGUAACCUUCAUUGUGGUGCAAAAGAGGCACCACACGCGCCUCUUUCCUGGAGAUUAUGGAGAU
Eucalyptus grandis is the source of this 549-nucleotide long non-coding RNA. RefSeq lists it as uncharacterized. The record is from RefSeq and is a predicted model, not a curated record. The transcript is spliced from 3 exons. NCBI's taxonomy places the organism in Eukaryota, Viridiplantae, Streptophyta, Magnoliopsida, Myrtales, Myrtaceae.